GUGGGGAAUAUUGGACAAUGGGCGAAAGCCUGAUCCAGCCAUGCCGCGUGUGUGAAGAAGGUCUUCGGAUUGUAAAGCACUUUAAGUUGGGAGGAAGGGCAGUAAGUUAAUACCUUGCUGUUUUGACGUUACCGACAGAAUAAGCACCGGCUAACUUCGUGCCAGCAGCCGCGGUAAUACGAAGGGUGCAAGCGUUAAUCGGAAUUACUGGGCGUAAAGCGCGCGUAGGUGGUUCAGCAAGUUGGAGGUGAAAUCCCCGGGCUCAACCUGGGAACUGCCUCCAAAACUACUGAGCUAGAGUACGGUAGAGGGUAGUGGAAUUUCCUGUGUAGCGGUGAAAUGCGUAGAUAUAGGAAGGAACACCAGUGGCGAAGGCGACUACCUGGACUGAUACUGACACUGAGGUGCGAAAGCGUGGGGAGCAAACAGGAUUAGAAACCCCGGUAGUCC
RNAcentral lists this ribosomal RNA (450 nucleotides) under uncultured bacterium. Its description in RNAcentral is "partial 16S ribosomal RNA". It matches the Rfam family "Bacterial small subunit ribosomal RNA", at positions 354 to 796 of the family's 1533-position model. The record is from RNAcentral.